RNAcentral lists this ribosomal RNA (468 nucleotides) under uncultured bacterium. RNAcentral's name for it is "partial 16S ribosomal RNA". It matches the Rfam family "Bacterial small subunit ribosomal RNA", at positions 28 to 507 of the family's 1533-position model. The record is from RNAcentral.
GACGAACGCUGGCGGCGUGCUUAACACAUGCAAGUCGAACGGAAAGGCCCUGCUUUUGUGGGGUGCUCGAGUGGCGAACGGGUGAGUAACACGUGAGUAACCUGCCCUUGACUUUGGGAUAACUUCAGGAAACUGGGGCUAAUACCGGAUAGGAGCUCCUGCUGCUUGGUGGGGGUUGGAAAGUUUCGGCGGUUGGGGAUGGACUCGCGGCUUAUCGGCUUGUUGGUGGGGUAGUGGCUUACCAAGGCUUUGACGGGUAGCCGGCCUGAGAGGGGGACCGGCCACAUGGGGCCUGCGAUACGGCCCAGACUCCUACGGGAGGCAGCAGUGGGGAAUAUUGCACAAUGGGCGGAAGCCUGAUGCAGCAACGCCGCGUGCGGGAUGACGGCCUUCGGGUUGUAAACCGCUUUCGCCUGUGACGAAGCGUGAGUGACGGUAAUGGGUAAAGAAGCACCGGCUAACUACGUG